Molecule: small nucleolar RNA, 77 nt
Filed under: Castor canadensis (American beaver)
Lineage: Eukaryota; Metazoa; Chordata; Mammalia; Rodentia; Castoridae
Description: Small nucleolar RNA SNORA51 (ENSCCNG00000015683.1)
Source: RNAcentral
GAAGUGAAGUAAACCUCCCCAUAUACACCUCAGCCCAGGACCUGUGCCUGAUCUGUAUUGAGAAUGUGAAGACACAG